Molecule: ribosomal RNA, 497 nt
Filed under: uncultured Actinomycetes bacterium
Lineage: Bacteria; Bacillati; Actinomycetota; Actinomycetes
Description: bacterial SSU rRNA
Rfam family: Bacterial small subunit ribosomal RNA
Source: RNAcentral
AGAGUUUGAUCCUGGCUCAGGACGAACGCUGGCGGCGCGCCUAAUACAUGCAAGUCGAGCGAGAACCGGGACUUCGGUCCCGGGGACAGCGGCGAACGGGUGCGUAACACGUGAGCAACCUGCCCCGAAGACCGGGACAAGCCGGGGAAACCUGGUCUAAUACCGGAUGUCCUCACCGCAUCGCAUGGUGUGGUGAGGAAAUGGAUUCCGCUUCGGGAUGGGCUCGCGGUCUAUCAGCUUGUUGGUGGGGUAACGGCCCACCAAGGCGACGACGGAUAGCUGGUCUGAGAGGACGAUCAGCCACACUGGGACUGAGACACGGCCCAGACUCCUACGGGAGGCAGCAGUAGGGAAUCUUGCGCAAUGGGGGAAACCCUGACGCAGCGACGCCGCGUGCGGGAUGAAGGCCUUCGGGUUGUAAACCGCUUUCAGCAGGGACGAAAUUGACGGUACCUGCAGAAGAAGGCCCGGCCAACUACGUGCCAGCAGCCGCGGUA